UACAGAGGGGGCAAGCGUUGUCCGGAAUUACUGGGCGUAAAGGGCGCGUAGGCGGCCUGCUAAGUCGAACGUGAAAUCCCUGGGCUCAACCCAGGAACUGCGUCCGAUACUGGUUGGCUUGAAUCCGGGAGAGGGAUGUGGAAUUCCCGGUGUAGCGGUGAAAUGCGCAGAUAUCGGGAGGAACACCGGUGGCGAAGGCGGUUCUCUGGGCCUGUACUGACGCUGAGGAGCGAAAGCGUGGGGAGCGAACAGG
Molecule: ribosomal RNA, 253 nt
Filed under: uncultured bacterium
Lineage: Bacteria
Description: partial 16S ribosomal RNA
Rfam family: Bacterial small subunit ribosomal RNA
Source: RNAcentral